Molecule: RNA transcript, 7591 nt
Organism: Sorghum bicolor (sorghum)
Lineage: Eukaryota; Viridiplantae; Streptophyta; Magnoliopsida; Poales; Poaceae
Exons: 3
Source: RefSeq, a predicted model, not a curated record
AAUUCUUCUCCCAAAUUCCUCCCUCUCUCACCCGUCGGUAUCUCCCUCUCCCACUCGAUCUCCACACGGACAAGGCGGCGAUGGCACGGGCACGGGCGGGCACGGCGGCGGCGGCUGCGGCCGGCCUCCUCUCCUCCUCCUCCUCCUCCUCCUCCUCCUCCUCCUCUUCCCCACGCCUCGUGCUGUGCCGGCCAUGUCCGCACCACCACCUCACGGCACGAGGUGCUGUGGUGCGGCAUACCCCGUGGACACUGGCGAUGCCUGCCCCAGGCCAUAGCGCGGUGCGAGGGUGCGAGCUGCUGGCCGCAGGUGUGCCUGCCCCUUGGUGAUGCCUCCUCUCUCUGUUGUGCGAGUGCUACAAGAAACCCUAGCUGCCUAUGCUGCAGGUCUCGACGGCCCAGCGCCGACCACACCCCUGCUGUUGGUGCCCUCCUCAUGCGUGGAGAUGCUCGCUGACAACGCAGCGGCGGCUGCAUGAACAACGAGGUAAACUCUCAGCUCCCCUGUCUCUAGCCCUCACUUUCUUCUAAUUUAGUCUUUGGUUUUAGUUUUAUAGUACUGAUUAAAAGGGUUUGCAGGUUUUCUACAUGGUUACAGGAAACUAAGAAUGAAACAUAUGUACUAGAGAAAAAAAAUGCAGAUUCUAACAUGUGCACUUCUCCAUUCUUAUUUAAUGACAACAAGAAAUUCCUUUAAUAGUAGGAGGAGUAGGAGAAUUGUCUGGUUGAUAUAUUGCCCUAUUAUCAUGUAUAUGGUUCUAAUUCUGCAGUACAUGUUCCACUCAUUUCAUGUAUUUGUCCACUGUUGAUAGAUCUCAUGUUUUUAUAUGUGCAUGUUUCCAUUGAUUUCUAGCGACAAGGAUUUACCAUGCUUCUUAGUUUUGUUUCAAUGGUGUAAACUUUGCUAUACCUCAUUUACACAAAAAAAAAAAACUUCUCUGCACUGUUAAUUAUUGUCUCUUCCAAUUUGUUAUAGCCAUGCAUGUCCUUGAUACUCUGCCAAAAAAGAACCUUUUCACCGUAUUUAUAGAUUGUAGUUGUCCUCUUUCCAUAGUUGUUUGUAACUGUUAAUUACAGUCUCUUCCAAUCUGUUACAGGCAUGCAUGUCCUCGAUACUAUAUCAAAAAAGAACCUUUUCCCCGUAUUUACAUAUUGUAGUUAUCCUCUUUCCAUAGUCGUUCGUAACGAACUUACCCAUUAAUCUCAGUAACAAUUGAAGAUAUUAUGUCGUCUCACACCAAAAAAUAUUUGGAAUGCCUCAUGUGUAUACAAUAAAAUUAUUUUUCAUACUGCUGCUUGCCUAAUGUACAAUAAAAUUCUUUUUCAUAAUGCUGUGUGCCUAAUUUUUUUUAGUGUGCAGUUGUAUGAUCUAUGAAAUAUCUGGGUCCUAACUUAUUCAUAUGUUGAGUCACAGUUUUUCAAUGCAAUGAUUACUUGGCACUUUCUGUAUUUUAUCUUUGUUAACCUUAUUGGUCGGAGUUGCUUGCCUUUGUCAUAUCCUUUAAGCACCUUACUUUUAUGUGUGUGUUUUCUUCAUUCCUGACCUAUUGUGUGGAAUAUAGAAUACUAGCCACAGACACAAGUGCUACAACUAACCUGCAGGCUCAAUGUAACUAGAAACAACUUAGCCAAUACAGAAAGAAAUAAGGCUACAAGGCCUCAGGGAAUAGCUGCUUUUUUGUUUAUUAUUCAGGUUAGUAUUGUUUCAAAUUUUAUAUGCAUGAAACUAGACUUAUGCAUCCUAGAAUUAAUCCUGCAUGAAACUGAACUAUCUUGGAAGGUGUCCCUUCCACCAAUUACUGCUAAAACUAAUUGUACUUUCUGUUUGUCAUUCAUCUUAAUGCCAACAUGAUCAUACAAAUUAAAUAUAUUCAUGUACCUACCUGUCCCUUACUAUUUACUUGCCAUAGCAACUUGGGAUUGGAGUUUCAAUUUACAGUUAUAUGUAGCUGAAUGAUUUAGUCUUUUGGAGUGAUCUGGUAUUAUAUUCAUAUGCUUCCAUGACUGUAUGCUAAGAAAAAUGCCUCCAUUAUUUUCUGCCAUGAGAAAAUUAUUUAUCUAAGGAGAUUGCAAAUGGCUACUACGAUGUUGAUAAUAUCGAUUUUGAAGCUACAUUGCCAUCCUUUGUUAUUGUACGUUUCUUUUUGCACAAAAGAGGUAGAUAGUGGAUGGUUUUCCAUAAAGGUGUGUGCUAGAUUAGUAUACCAUACUGAUACUGCAGUAAGUCAUUUAUGUCCCUUCUUUUAUAUGCAACUCAAAUGACAGUUGCCUUAGCCCAUUAUAUUUGUACAGAUAAUUAUGAACAAACCUUUUAAAAUGUAUUGACGAAUAAAUUUCAGGCAUCUUCGCACCAAAUAGAACAAGCAGCCACUCAGGGUAAACAUGAAGUCCUCGAAUUACGAAAUACUCAUGUUUAUCCCUGAUCUUCGAAAAUUUCAUAUCGACACUUGCAACUACAAUUAGUCACAUAGGUUACGACAAUCCUAACAAUUCUUAAUAUUUGUUUCUAUUGGCAGACACCCUCACCAGGAUUACAUUACAAAUUUUGAAACUGUCAAAUUUCUGUACAUUACAAAAGAUGAUGUACAGAAAGCAAUGAAGACCAUAUUAAAUAUUAUUGAUCCAUCAGUACCUGCAGAUAAAUGGUUUUCCUUUUUUUGGUCCAGAAAGACAGCUAUUUACAACUAACAACUCAUUUGUUUUGUUUCCCUUCACUUUUGUUCCUACAAAUCUACUGCAACACAUGAAGACUCCACUUUAGCUCCCGGGAAUGUUCGGAAGCGUACCACAACAUAACACCUGAGGAUAAGGUUUGAACUAAUUCUCCUUUUGUUUACAUGUAUCAACAAUGAUAUAUCGACAACAACCAAGUGUUAUGAGCGUCGCCAACAACUAUGUUUUAAACUUCUAUUUCUCGGUGCACUAACCAAGUUGGGUCAUGAUUUUUUAUAUGAAGUCGAGAGGCACACAAUAAUAUAUUUGCUUAUUGAGUCUAAGGUGGCAUCCUACUAUAAGAAUUUUAGUGAGCUUGGCAACUUAAAUGCAUUCCUUUUUUAUAGUGCUGACAACUUUAAAGAUUUUGGUUUGUAUUAUAUGAACUUCAAGUACUACUAACUAAUGUUACCCAUCAUUGUUUUUUAGCUUGAACGCUUGCCACAUGAUUAUAGUGGAUCUGCGUUGAGAGUGAUUGAGUCAUUAUCAAGGUCUGCUUUAUGAAACUAUAAUGUUUCUAUUUUUUACUGCUCUCACAUAUUGUCUUUGGUUGUUUAAAAUAUAAACUGCUAUAUUUUCUGUUAUGACACUUCUGUUCAUAAGAUUGGUAUGUGAUGCCUCUCUGUUUGGCUCACGCAGCCUUCUUGUCUUAUGUAACCUAGCAAAAUCUGAGAGACGAAUUCUCUGGCUUCCAGAAAUCUGACAGUUGAUGUCUUUGUCAGUUUAUGCUAUUUGAUCAUGUAUAUAUACAGGAUUUCAAGAAUCAAAUCAGCUUUGCCCUCUGUCAUUGUUUUUCCUUUUUUGCUACUCACUAUAACAUGGAUUUGCACUAGGCAAUUUUUGCUACCAUCUACCUUGAAGAAGGUGAAACCUAUUGGUUGAUCAUGGAGGCUGUAAAAAGUAUUAGCUCUUUUUUUCCUUUUCAAACCUGACAUGUGCCUUUAUUCUAGUUUUUAUUCAAACUGUUCCAAAUAUUCACUUGAGUUCCCUUAUCUGGAAGAUAAAAUCAUUUGUAGGUUGGCUCACAACCUAUUACAUCUAUGCAAAAAAAGAAACUGGGUGUUGCAGAGAAAAUUAAUUCAAUGCCCUUCAGCCUCCACACAGGUAUGUACAUUUUGUGAGCAAUCAUGUAGAUUACGUGAUUACUGUUCAAGAAGAUUAGAAACCCUCAUGGGUUCUAGCAGAAUAUGUUUAACUCUAAAUUUAGCCUAUAUGUGACGGAACACUUUGGCGGUCAACUCACUACCAAAUCAGGGAGUCCACGACGUGAUGAAAGCAAGAUGGACAGACGUUGGGUGUAUGGUGUGUUAUUUACACCUCAGUAUAUUGGUGGUGUGAAAUCUUUCAUGGACUUCAUCAAAGAGAGGUUUAAUGAGACUGAACAAAUUCUGUGCCCAUGUACUAAUUGUUUAAACCAUAAAUAUCUACACCAGAAUGAUGCGGAGAGGCACCUACUGCUCAAUGGCAUGUCCACUACAUAUACAAGGUGGAUAAACCAUGAAGAGGGCAGCGAUGUUCAUGUUUUGGAGGAGCCAGUACCUAAGGAUGGAAAUGAUAAUUCUUUGGAGGAACCAGUACAUGAUGAUGGAUUGGAUGCGAUGUUAAGGGACCUUGUCAGCUCCGAACAUGUAAAUGAUGAUGGACAUGAUGAUGGAAACCCAUCCAAUGAUGCUGCAUCACGUUUCAAACAUUUGAUUGAAGAGGCUAAGCAUGAACUAUAUCUGGGUUGCACAAAUUUUUCAAGGUUGACAUUUGUGAUCAAGCUACUCCAUGUCAAGUCAUAUUAUAGGAUCACUAACUCAGCAUUUUCUAUGAUUUUGGAGAUGUUGUCAGAUGCUUUCCCACAGUUCAACACUGUUCCAAAAUCAUAUGUUGAAGCAAAGAAAAUGCUUCAUGAAUUGGGACUUGGUUAUAUAUCAAUUCAUGUGUGCCCAAACAAUUGUGUGCUAUUUAGAAAGACAUAUAAGGAAUUAGAUAAUUGUCCAGUUUGUCAAGCAUCAAGAUGGAAAGAUCCUGAGAAGAAGAAGGUUCCUGCAAAGGUGUUGUGGCAUUUUCCAUUGAUCCCUAGGCUACAAAGGUUGUUUGUUUCUAGGAAAUCAUCUGAGGAAGCAUUUUCCAUUGAUCCCUAGGCUACAAAGGUUGUUUGUUUCUAGGAAAUCAUCUGAGGAAGUACAGUGGCAUAAGUUGAAGAGGAAACAAAAUGAGAAGGAAAUGACCCAUCCUGUUGAUGGAAAGGCAUGAGAAGAUUUUGACAAAGUGUUGGCCUAAUUUUGCUAAAGAUGCACGAAACAUAAGACUUGGAGACUUGGACUUUGCCACAGAUGGUUUCAAUCCUUUUAGCAACAUGAGUUCAUCUUAUAGCAUGUGGCUUGUUUUUGUGAUUCCAUACAACUUACCACCUUGGUUAUGCAUGCAAGAAUCUAAUUUCAUGAUGUCUUUGUUGAUUCUCGGUCCUCAUUCACCAGGGAAGGCGUUUGAUAUUUUCUUGCAGCCUCUAGUAGAAGAUUUACUUGAGCUAUGGAGAGGUGUGGAUACCCUUGAUGCUAUCACAGGAAAAGAUUUUAAGCUUCAUGCUGCAGUGUUGUGGUGCAUUCAUGACUACCCAGCACUAAGUACUCUAUCAGGGCGUACCACUAGUGGUUACUUUGCUUGUCUCCAUUGUGACACAAAUCCUCUAUCCUAUGCCAGGAGCAAGAUAUGCUAUAUUGGGCACUGUCGUUUCCUUCCAAGAGGUCAUCAUUUGCGCAAGGCCAAUGAUUUUGAGUCUCUCCAUGGUACUAGUGCAAAGCCAGGUACUUUCACUAGAGAAGAGUUGCUAGAAGAAUUAGAAAAGGUUAGAGAUGUUAGAGUUGGACAGAAAAGGAAGCGUUCUGGGAAUCGUGUACCAAUUUGGGGUAGAAGGGUUUGUUUGUGGGACGUACCAUAUUGGUCAUCUCUAAAGCUCAGACACAAUCUUGAUGUGAUGCACAUUGAAAAAAAUGUAUGUGAAAGUCUGCUUGGUACCAUUCUUGACAUCAAAGGGAAGUCAAAAGAUACAACUAAUGCAAGGUUAGAUCUUGCUGAUCUGAAAAUUAGGAAGGAGUUGCAAUUGCAGCAUAAGGGAGAUGAUGACUAUGACAUGCCUAAAGCUCGAUAUACGUUGUCCCAGUCAAUGAAGACUCAAUUUCUUAAUUUCUUGAAGGAUGCCAAGUUUCCAGACGGGUAUGCUUCAAAUAUACAAAAGUGCUUAACUGCUGAUGCAAUCAAGUGGCAAGGCCUAAAAACUCAUGACUGUCACAUUCUGUUGCAAAGGAUUAUACCUGCUGUGGUAAGAGGGUUAUUGGACGAUGAUGUCUAUCAAACAAUUGCUGAGUUUGGCAAAUUUUUCAGGGAAUUGUGCAGCCAAAGACUGAACACAGAUUUGUUGGCUCGAAUGAAGACAGAAAUACCUAUCAUAUUGUGCAAGCUUGAGAAGAUAUUCCCCCCUCCUUUUUUGAUGUUAUGGUUCACCUUGCUGUCCAUUUGCCUGAUGAGGCCAUCCUUCGGGGACCUGUACAAUUUGGUUGGAUGUACCCAAUUGAACAUCGUUUGUAUACUCUGAAGAAGUCUUAGGAACAAGGCAUGUCCAGAAGGCUCAAUUGCAGAGGCUUAUGUGGUAGAUGAAGCCCUCACAUUUUGCUCUAGAUAUAUGGAAGAUGUGGAGACAAGGUUUAAUCGGCUUCCAAGAAAUGUUGGAUUUUCAGAUCAGUCAGCAUAUAUUGUUGAUGUUUUUGGGCACGGUGUUAAUCUUAUAAGCGCAUAUGAUUAUUCGUACUCUGAGGAAAUUGAUCAGCUGGUUUGGUAUGUUCUCAACAAUUGUGAUCAGGCCGAGAAAUUAAUAAAAAAGUUUCAAGAUGACUUAACAACAUCAGGGGUGGCUGCUGCAGAUCUUGAAAGAAGGACAGAGAAUGGCUUUGUGCAUUGGUUCAGGAAUCAUGUUAGUCUCUUAAUAGUAUCCUAGUAUUUCUGUAAUGUUUUAGUAAUUAUAAUUAGGCGCUGAGACAUUUCCCAUUGUAGAUGUGGAGGUUGAAUGCAACAGACGUGGUUGAUGAUGAUUUACUUGCCUUAGCUUGUGGCCCUGACAUUAGAGUAAGAUCAUACUCCACUUGUGUUGUCAAUGGUGUUCGGUUCAACACCGCCGAGCGUGACAAAAACAAGACGACACAAAACUCCAGGUUGACCUGUACAGGUGCAUAUAGAAAUGGAAUAAUUGAUUAUUAUGGCACACCUAAAGAGAUUAUUGAGUUUCUGUACACUGACAAGGAUGAUGGUACAAAACGAUCAGUUGUAGUUUUUAGAUGUGACUGGUACAAAUUAGAUGGUAAGCAUACCUCAUUAAAAGAUGAUGAGUUCUAUAAGAGUAUCAAUAUUAGCAACUUGUGGUGCAAAAAGGAUAGUUUUAUUUUGGCAACUCAAGCGACACAAGUAUUCUAUUUGCCAGAUAAUAAGCAUGGAAAGAAUUGGCGGAUUGUUCAAAGGUUUAAUCAUCGCCAUUUGUAUAAUGUGUCUCAAAUAGAUGGUGUUGCAUCCACUGCUGCACCCUAUCAAGAGCAAACAUGUGUUGUGGACCUUGGGAGGAGACCAGAAGUAUCUGACAUGCCUUUAAGCCGAGAUGAUGAGGCUGGCUUUGUUGUUCAUGCUGCUGAGAUUGCUCUUCUUAAUAAGAAAAAUCAACUAAAUGCUAAUAAUGAAGCUGAUAUACAAUUACCAUCAAAUUUUCUUAACAGCAUCAUGUAUAUAUGUGAAGGUUGAUAUUGUAUAGGGAGAGCAAAUGAUUUUAUCUGAAUAUGUUACACAUUUGACCAUUUGGAAUGGAGAGAGUAGGAACCAAGUGGAGACCAACCAGUCAACUUUUUGACCAA